RNAcentral lists this ribosomal RNA (770 nucleotides) under Staphylococcus sp. 4PE.1. RNAcentral's name for it is "bacterial SSU rRNA". It matches the Rfam family "Bacterial small subunit ribosomal RNA", at positions 70 to 825 of the family's 1533-position model. The record is from RNAcentral. Lineage: Bacteria; Bacillati; Bacillota; Bacilli; Caryophanales; Staphylococcaceae.
GAUAAGGAGCUUGCUCCUUUGACGUUAGCGGCGGACGGGUGAGUAACACGUGGAUAACCUACCUAUAAGACUGGGAUAACUUCGGGAAACCGGAGCUAAUACCGGAUAACAUAUUGAACCGCAUGGUUCAAUAGUGAAAGGCGGCUUUGCUGUCACUUAUAGAUGGAUCCGCGCCGUAUUAGCUAGUUGGUAAGGUAACGGCUUACCAAGGCAACGAUACGUAGCCGACCUGAGAGGGUGAUCGGCCACACUGGAACUGAGACACGGUCCAGACUCCUACGGGAGGCAGCAGUAGGGAAUCUUCCGCAAUGGGCGAAAGCCUGACGGAGCAACGCCGCGUGAGUGAUGAAGGUCUUCGGAUCGUAAAACUCUGUUAUCAGGGAAGAACAAAUGUGUAAGUAACUGUGCACAUCUUGACGGUACCUGAUCAGAAAGCCACGGCUAACUACGUGCCAGCAGCCGCGGUAAUACGUAGGUGGCAAGCGUUAUCCGGAAUUAUUGGGCGUAAAGCGCGCGUAGGCGGUUUUUUAAGUCUGAUGUGAAAGCCCACGGCUCAACCGUGGAGGGUCAUUGGAAACUGGAAAACUUGAGUGCAGAAGAGGAAAGUGGAAUUCCAUGUGUAGCGGUGAAAUGCGCAGAGAUAUGGAGGAACACCAGUGGCGAAGGCGACUUUCUGGUCUGUAACUGACGCUGAUGUGCGAAAGCGUGGGGAUCAAACAGGAUUAGAUACCCUGGUAGUCCACGCCGUAAACGAUGAGUGCUAAGUGUUA